AGAGUUUGAUCCUGGCUCAGAUUGAACGCUGGCGGCAUGCCUUACACAUGCAAGUCCAACGGUAACGGGCCUUCGGGUGCCGACGAGUGGCGAACGGGUGAGUAAUGUAUCGGAACGUACCUUUCAGUGGGGGAUAACGUAGCGAAAGUUACGCUAAUACCGCAUAUUCUGUGAGCAGGAAAGCAGGGGAUCGCAAGACCUUGCGCUGAUUGAGCGGCCGAUAUCAGAUUAGCUAGUUGGUGAGGUAAAGGCUCACCAAGGCGACGAUCUGUAGCGGGUCUGAGAGGAUGAUCCGCCACACUGGAACUGAGACACGGUCCAGACUCCUACGGGAGGCAGCAGUGGGGAAUUUUGGACAAUGGGGGCAACCCUGAUCCAGCCAUGCCGCGUGAGUGAAGAAGGCCUUCGGGUUUGUAAAGCUCUUUCGGCCGGGAAAGAAAUCGUAUGGGGUUAAUACCCUGUGCGGAUGACGGUACCGGCAUAAGAAGCACCGGCUAACUACGUGCCAGCAGCCGCGGUAAUACGUAGGGUGCGAGCGUUAAUCGGAAUUACUGGGCGUAAAGCGUGCGCAGGCGGUUUUGUAAGACAGGCGUGAAAUCCCCGGGCUCAACCUGGGAACUGCGCUUGUGACUGCAAGGCUAGAGUACGGCAGAGGGAGGUGGAAUUCCACGUGUAGCAGUGAAAUGCGUAGAGAUGUGAAGGAACACCAAUGGCGAAGGCAGCCCCCUGGGUCGAUACUGACGCUCAUGCACGAAAGCGUGGGUAGCAAACAGGAUUAGAUACCCUGGUAGUCCACGCCCUA
RNAcentral lists this ribosomal RNA (802 nucleotides) under uncultured bacterium. RNAcentral describes it as "bacterial SSU rRNA". It matches the Rfam family "Bacterial small subunit ribosomal RNA", at positions 8 to 804 of the family's 1533-position model. The record is from RNAcentral.